UAAGUAAUAAAUUAUUAUUUUUUUUAUAGUUUGUUUUUUAUUAAAAGUAAUUUAUUUAUUAGUAGUUUUUAUCGAAAUUAUAGUUUUUAUUAUAGCUAAUAGUACCGUGGGGGAAUUUUUUAUUUUAUUAAAAGUAGUUUUAAUUUAAUGUACCUUUUGUAUCAGGGUUAAUUAAUAUAUUUUAUGGAUAUAGUUUUCCCGAAAAAAGAAGAGAUAUAAUAAAAAUUUAUUUUUUGUUUCAAAAGGAUUGAUAAUUUUAUUAUAGUAAUGAAAUGUUAUUCGUUUCUUUAUAUCUGGUUGCUUUAGAAUUUAAUUUAAUUAAGGUCUAAUUUUGUUUUAAUGUAUUUUAUUAUUAUUUAGGCUAAGGAUUUUGGGGAUAAGCUCAUAAUUCUUUUUAUAACUUUAAUUUAUUUAUAGAUUUUGUAGGCUUAGAAUCAGCCAUCAUUAAUUUCGUUAUAGAUGAUUCUUUUUAUUUAUUUAUUUAUUUGAGUUUAAUUUUUUAUAAAGUUAAUUUAAUAAAUUUAUUGUUUAAUACAAUAAUGAUUAAAUUAGUAUAAUUUAUAAUUAGUUUAUAGUAACUCGGCAAGUUUAAUGUUCGCCUGUUUAACAAAAACAUGUCCUUUAGAUUAUUAAUUUAAGGUCUAACCUGCCCAAUGAUUAAGAUUGAAUGGCCGCGGUAUUUUAACUGUGCUAAGGUAGCAUAAUCAUUUGUCUUUUAAUUGAAGGCUAGUAUGAAUGGUUGGACGAGAUAUUAACUUUCUUUAAACUAAGAAUUAUAAUUUAAUUUUUUAGUUAAAAAGCUAAAAUUUAUUAAUGGGACGAGAAGACCCUAUAGAUCUUUACUUCUUUUUUACUUAACAAAUUUAGUUGUAUAAUUAAUUUAAGUGAAAUAAAAGUUUGAUUGGGGUGAUUGCAGAAUUGAUUUAACUUCUGUUUAAAUUUAUCAUUAAUUAAUGAUUAAAUGAUCCAGUUAUAUUGAUUAUAAGAUUAAGUUACCUUAGGGAUAACAGCGUAAUUUUUUUGGAUAGUUCGUAUUGAUAAAAAAGUUUGCGACCUCGAUGUUGGAUUAAAAUAAGUGAUAGGCGCAGUAGCUUAUUUACUAGGUCUGUUCGACCUUUAAUUUUUUACAUGAUCUGAGUUCAGACCGGCGUGAGCCAGGUCAGUUUCUAUCUUUUAAUUUCUGAUAUGCUUUAGUACGAAAGGACCAAGCAUAUAAUAUAUUAUUUGUAUUUUGAUUUAUAUU
Molecule: ribosomal RNA, 1243 nt
Filed under: Acanthaspis cincticrus
Lineage: Eukaryota; Metazoa; Arthropoda; Insecta; Hemiptera; Reduviidae
Description: 16S ribosomal RNA
Rfam family: Archaeal large subunit ribosomal RNA (bases 816-1172)
Source: RNAcentral